Molecule: ribosomal RNA, 310 nt
Filed under: uncultured bacterium
Lineage: Bacteria
Description: partial 16S ribosomal RNA
Rfam family: Bacterial small subunit ribosomal RNA
Source: RNAcentral
AAGAGACAGCAGUCGCCACGGUAAUACGGAGGGUGCAAGCGUUAAUCGGAAUUACUGGGCGUAAAGCGCACGCAGGCGGUCUGACAAGUCAGAUGUGAAAUCCCCGGGCUUAACCUGGGAACUGCAUUUGAAACUGUCAGGCUGGAGUCUUGUAGAGGGGGGUGGAAUUCCAGGUGUAGCGGUGAAAUGCGUAGAGAUCUGGAGGAAUACCGGUGGCGAAGGCGGCCCCCUGGACAAAGACUGACGCUCAGGUGCGAAAGCGUGGGGAGCAAACAGGAUUAGAUACCCCGGUAGUCCCUGUCUCUUAUAC